Molecule: non-coding RNA, 1686 nt
Filed under: Saccharomyces cerevisiae YJM1083
Lineage: Eukaryota; Fungi; Ascomycota; Saccharomycetes; Saccharomycetales; Saccharomycetaceae
Also listed under: 1 other name
Description: 15S ribosomal RNA
Rfam family: Bacterial small subunit ribosomal RNA
Source: RNAcentral
GUAAAAAAUUUAUAAGAAUAUGAUGUUGGUUCAGAUUAAGCGCUAAAUAAGGACAUGACACAUGCGAAUCAUACGUUUAUUAUUGAUAAGAUAAUAAAUAUGUGGUGUAAACGUGAGUAAUUUUAUUAGGAAUUAAUGAACUAUAGAAUAAGCUAAAUACUUAAUAUAUUAUUAUAUAAAAAUAAUUUAUAUAAUAAAAAGGAUAUAUAUAUAAUAUAUAUUUAUCUAUAGUCAAGCCAAUAAUGGUUUAGGUAGUAGGUUUAUUAAGAGUUAAACCUAGCCAACGAUCCAUAAUCGAUAAUGAAAGUUAGAACGAUCACGUUGACUCUGAAAUAUAGUCAAUAUCUAUAAGAUACAGCAGUGAGGAAUAUUGGACAAUGAUCGAAAGAUUGAUCCAGUUACUUAUUAGGAUGAUAUAUAAAAAUAUUUUAUUUUAUUUAGUUCCGGGGCCCGGCCACGGGAGCCGGAACCCCGAAAGGAGAAAUAUUUAAUAUUUAUAAUAAUAAUAAUAAUAAUAUAUAUAUAUAAAUUGAUUAAAAAUAAAAUCCAUAAAUAAUUAAAAUAAUGAUAUUAAUUACCAUAUAUAUUUUAUAUGGAUAUAUAUAUUAAUAAUAAUAUUAAUUUAUUAUUAUUAAUAAUAUAUUUUAAUAGUCCUGACUAAUAUUUGUGCCAGCAGUCGCGGUAACACAAAGAGGGCGAGCGUUAAUCAUAAUGGUUUAAAGGAUCCGUAGAAUGAAUUAUAUAUUAUAAUUUAGAGUUAAUAAAAUUAAUUAAAGAAUUAUAAUAGUAAAGAUGAAAUAAUAAUAAUAAUUAUAAGACUAAUAUAUGUGAAAAUAUUAAUUAAAUAUUAACUGACAUUGAGGGAUUAAAACUAGAGUAGCGAAACGGAUUCGAUACCCGUGUAGUUCUAGUAGUAAACUAUGAAUACAAUUAUUUAUAAUAUAUAUUAUAUAUAAAUAAUAAAUGAAAAUGAAAGUAUUCCACCUGAAGAGUACGUUAGCAAUAAUGAAACUCAAAACAAUAGACGGUUACAGACUUAAGCAGUGGAGCAUGUUAUUUAAUUCGAUAAUCCACGACUAACCUUACCAUAUUUUGAAUAUUAUAAUAAUUAUUAUAAUUAUUAUAUUACAGGCGUUACAUUGUUGUCUUUAGUUCGUGCUGCAAAGUUUUAGAUUAAGUUCAUAAACGAACAAAACUCCAUAUAUAUAAUUUUAAUUAUAUAUAAUUUUAUAUUAUUUAUUAAUAUAAAGAAAGGAAUUAAGACAAAUCAUAAUGAUCCUUAUAAUAUGGGUAAUAGACGUGCUAUAAUAAAAUGAUAAUAAAAUUAUAUAAAAUAUAUUUAAUUAUAUUUAAUUAAUAAUAUAAAACAUUUUAAUUUUUAAUAUAUUUUUUUAUUAUAUAUUAAUAUGAAUUAUAAUCUGAAAUUCGAUUAUAUGAAAAAAGAAUUGCUAGUAAUACGUAAAUUAGUAUGUUACGGUGAAUAUUCUAACUGUUUCGCACUAAUCACUCAUCACGCGUUGAAACAUAUUAUUAUCUUAUUAUUUAUAUAAUAUUUUUUAAUAAAUAUUAAUAAUUAUUAAUUUAUAUUUAUUUAUAUCAGAAAUAAUAUGAAUUAAUGCGAAGUUGAAAUACAGUUACCGUAGGGGAACCUGCGGUGGGCUUAUAAAUAUCUUAAAUAUUCUUACA